This 581-nucleotide ribosomal RNA is filed under the name Xylariales sp. RNAcentral's name for it is "partial large subunit ribosomal RNA". It matches the Rfam family "Eukaryotic large subunit ribosomal RNA", at positions 50 to 654 of the family's 3401-position model. The record is from RNAcentral. Lineage: Eukaryota; Fungi; Ascomycota; Sordariomycetes; Xylariales.
ACGGAGGAAAAGGAAACCAACAGGGAUUGCCCUAGUAACGGCGAGUGAAGCGGCAACAGCUCAAAUUUGAAAUCUGGCCUUCGGGUCCGAGUUGUAAUUUGUAGAGGAUGCUUUUGGCGCAGUGCCUUCCGAGUUCCCUGGAACGGGACGCCUUAGAGGGUGAGAGCCCCGUACGGUUGGACACUAAGCCUCUGUAAAGCUCCUUCAACGAGUCGAGUAGUUUGGGAAUGCUGCUCUAAAUGGGAGGUAAAUUUCUUCUAAAGCUAAAUACCGGCCAGAGACCGAUAGCGCACAAGUAGAGUGAUCGAAAGAUGAAAAGCACUUUGAAAAGAGGGUUAAAUAGCACGUGAAAUUGUUGAAAGGGAAGCGUUUGCGACCAGACCUUUUCGCGGCGGAUCAUCCGGUGUUCUCACCGGUGCACUUCGCCGUGUUUAGGCCAGCAUCGGUUUUCGUAGGGGGAUAAAAGCUUGGGGAAUGUAGCUCCCUCGGGAGUGUUAUAGCCCCUUGCAUAAUACCCUUAUGGGGACCGAGGACCGCGCUUUUGCAAGGAUGCUGGCAUAAUGGUCGUCAACGACCCGUCU